Molecule: long non-coding RNA, 762 nt
Filed under: Olea europaea subsp. europaea
Lineage: Eukaryota; Viridiplantae; Streptophyta; Magnoliopsida; Lamiales; Oleaceae
Source: RNAcentral
CAAAGUGCAAACGGUUGUUGGACCUUUUUUUCUCGACUGAUGGGCUUUGUCCCUUAACGGGGUGUUCGAAUGUGCAGGUGAUGCUCCCAUAAAUGGGACGUGGCCAAAUUUUUUUGAUGCAUUUUUUGAGGUCAAUAGAUUGGUGUCAUCUAGGGAUAUCAAUGAGUCGAGCCGAACUCAAGGCUUGAGCUCGGCUCGAGUAAAAUUGUGCAAGCGUAUUUUGGGCCCUGGCCUAGCUGAGCUUUUGCUUGACCAAAACUUCUAGUCUUGAUCUGAGCUAAAAGCUUGGGCCUUUUCGAGCCAGACUCGAUUUUUUAUUUUUUUAAAUAAACAGUUGUUUUUAGGGUAGAAAAGUGUUGCCUUUUUAAAAGGCAGUAGUUGCCUUUCUUUUAUAAGGCCCGUGAGCCAGUGCUCACAAGCCGACGGGCCACACGGGUUGGGUUGAGCUUUUUCGGGCAUAAUCACAGAUGGCCCGAGCCUAUGAGCUGAAUUGACAUCCUCUAGUGCCAUGUAUGAAAAAUCAUUACAUUGACCAUGUUCUACCACUUCCAAAAAGCCAUUGAGAAUACAUAAUUUUUGGAACAGUUUUUCUACUUAAAAAAGCGAAGACAGCAAUAAAAAUGAAGGCUACUGGAUUUUAAAAUUUCCUUAAAAAAGUUAAUUUUCCGACGAAGGUUCAAGAAACAGGGUAGACAAAUCGGUCAUGAAAAAUGCAAGGCUGACCUUGAGAUUUUGGAGGCUUUAGACCAAUUUCAAAUAUGG